ACGGCUACAUCUCAUUGAAACACCGGUUCCCGCAUGAUCAUCGAAGUUAAGCAUCGUUGAGCCUGGUCAUUACCUAGAUGGGUCACCGCUUGGAAAUACCACUUGCUGUAA
Molecule: non-coding RNA, 111 nt
Organism: Acanthosepion pharaonis
Lineage: Eukaryota; Metazoa; Mollusca; Cephalopoda; Sepiida; Sepiidae
Source: the annotation of a GenBank genome assembly